AUGCUUCACCAGUUGUGGAUGGCUGGUGGGGAUGCCUCUGCAUUAAUCCUUGCUGGACGAAGUACAAGCAACACUCUUGAGAAGACUUUGAAAGAAAAGGAUCACAGAUUCCUCCUCUGGAUGUGUCAUCUGAAUGCUUUGAGGAACUGGUAUGCAGAGAGAAGCAGUAUGGUAUUCCCCUCACUCAGCAAACCAGAAGCAGGCAGGUCUCCCCUGAAUGCCGAUGAUGGUCAGAGCGAGUGUGUUUCCUGCUUGGGGAAAUCCCACAUGGAAGCCGCGCUGACAGGGACGGACCAUUCUCAUUGCAAGAACUUCAGUCUCACUUCUCUACACUCAUGGAUGACUUUCUUUUCAGAGAGGGACUCCACCCCUCUCGCCCUCCCAUUUACUUCCUUCCAGGAACCUGUGAGGAAAAAACUGCAGGAAAGAGGACUCCAGUGCUCGGUUGUGAGCGAGCUCAUACAGCAUAAUAUUGUGUUAUUUUCCGAAGCAAUGAUAUUUUAUUAUACUAUUUGGUAUAAUAAUAAAAUAUAUUUUUUUACAGCCCAGUCGAUGGUGGUGUUGAGUUGUUUUUUUUUCUGUUGAGGUCAGCUGGGUCAUCUUCUGCAUGUAGUAAGUUAGUAAAGC
RNAcentral lists this long non-coding RNA (627 nucleotides) under Carassius auratus (goldfish). RNAcentral describes it as "lncRNA (ENSCARG00000050353.1)". The record is from RNAcentral. Lineage: Eukaryota; Metazoa; Chordata; Actinopteri; Cypriniformes; Cyprinidae.